RNAcentral lists this ribosomal RNA (20 nucleotides) under Trebouxia sp. Kauff4-1998. RNAcentral's name for it is "partial 26S ribosomal RNA". The record is from RNAcentral. Lineage: Eukaryota; Viridiplantae; Chlorophyta; Trebouxiophyceae; Trebouxiales; Trebouxiaceae.
UGAGCUCAGCAAGAACACCC